This 4495-nucleotide long non-coding RNA is filed under the name Salmo salar (Atlantic salmon). RNAcentral describes it as "lncRNA (ENSSSAG00000107449.1)". Lineage: Eukaryota; Metazoa; Chordata; Actinopteri; Salmoniformes; Salmonidae. The record is from RNAcentral.
AACCUUGAUCGUAUAGAUUUAUUGACAUUAAAUGACAGAAUGCAUCCAAAGCAACUGUAUUGUGGGUCAGGAACCAUAGAAGAAACAGCAUAUCAAUAUCCACCUUUAUGGCUAUGGACUAAUAAGAAAGCGUUAACAACAAACAGUAUUAUUAUUAUUAUUAUUAUUCAAGGUUAUAUAUCAACACUUCAUGUACAUUAUGCAGCUUGUGUGUCUUUAACAGACCUGGGUUCAAAUAGUAUUUGAAAUCAUUUCAAAUACUUCAUCUUGAUUGAUUGAGCUUGCAUGGCUAAAUGCAGUGUUUCCCACCCCUGGUCUUGCAGUACCCCGAACAGCCCAACCCUGGUCCUCCAGUACUCCGAACAGCCCAACCCUGGUCCUCCAGUACCCCGAACAGCCCAACCCUGGUCCUCCAGUACCCCGAACAGCCCAACCCUGGUCCUGCAGUACCCCGAACAGCCCAACCCUGGUCCUGCAUACCCCGAACAGCCCAACCCUGGUCCUGCAUACCCCGAACAGCCCAACCCUGGUCCUGCAGUACCCUGAACAGCCCAACCCUGGUCCUCCAGUACCCCGAACAGCCCAACCCUGGUCCUGCAGUACCCCGAACAGCCCAACCCUGGUCCUGCAGUACCCCGAACAGCCCAACCCUGGUCCUCCAGUACCCCGAACAACCCAACCCUGGUCCUCCAGUACCCCGAACAGCCCAACCCUGGUCCUCCAGUACCCCGAACAGCCCAACCCUGGUCCUCCAGUACCCCGAACAGCCCAACCCUGGUCCUCCAGUACCCCGAACAGCCCAACCCUGGUCCUCCAGCACCCCCAACAGAACACAUUUACACUGUAGCCCUGGACAAACACACCUCAUUCAACUCAUUGAAAGCUUUAUGAUUAGUUAACAAGUUGAGUCAAGUAUGCUUGUCCAGGUUUGCAGUAAACAUUUGUACUGUUGGGGGUACUGGAGGACCAGGGUCGGGAAACACUGACUUAAUGAACCAAUAGAAUUGUCCCAAAAUAGCAAACUCCGCCCAUCUGGCACUCCAGGCAGGACAUAUCAAAUGCUCACAGUUUCAGAUAGUUUUUGAACCCAGGUUCUUCUCAUGACACAGUCAGCACAGAUGAUAACAGAUCUUCAAUGAUAGACAUAUUACAUUAUGGCUUUUCAAUCAUUACAGUUACAGAAAGUUACCAGACAGUAUGGCAGAGCUAAGCUAACAAUUAUGUCAAUUAAAUCUAUAAAACAAUAACUGUACUUUUCCCUUUCCUUCUUCAUUCCCUGUUUAUUGAGAGCACGGGGAAGAAAACCUAUCACUUCCCUUUACCGCCGUAGAUAGGACAUGGAAUGGAGCGAUCAGUUUUCUUGAACACGUUGUAUUUACAUGCCUUUUGGUCAAACUCCUUCACGCAAUCAUCAGGAAAUCUUGUGGGCUCAGAAUAUCUGCAAUCAAACAAUCAACAUCAGCAAAUACUUUGAUAGAAAAUGUAUGGACUAUCACUCACUCACUCAUUCUCAAAUCAAAUUUAUACAACAGGUGUAGACCUUACUGUGAAAUGCUUAUUUAGAAGCCCUUAACCAACAAUGCAGUUUUAAGAAAAUAAGAGUUAAGAAAAUAUUUACUAAAUAAACUGAAGUAACACAAUAAAAUAACAAUAACGAGGCUAUGUACAGUGGGUACCGAAUGAAUGUGCGGGGGUACAGGUUAGUUGAGGUAAUGAAGGUAAUUUGUAAAGUGACUAUGCAUAGAUUAAACAUCGUUCGGGUCUCCAUUUGAUGAAUUGUUCAGGAGUCCUUAUGGUUUGGGGGUAGAAGCUGUUAAGGAGCCUUUUGGACCUAGACUUGGCGUUCUGGUACCACUUCCCGUGCGAAAGCAGAGAGAAUAAUCAAUGACUUGGGUGACUGGAGUCUUUGAAAACAAAUUUGGGCCUCUGACACCGCCUGGUAUAGAGGUCUUGGAUGGCAGGGAGCUUGCCCCUAGUGAUGUACUGGGCCGUACGCACUACCCUCUGUAGCGCCUUUUAGUCAGAGGCCGAGCAGUUGCCAUACCAAGCGGUGAUGCAGCCAGUCAAGAUGCUCUCAAUGGUGCAGCUGUAUAACUUUUUGAGGAUCUCAGGACCCAUGCCAAAUCUUUUUAGUUUCCUGGGGGGGAAUAGGCUUUGUCGUGCCCUCUUCAAGACUGUCUUGGUGUGUUUGGACCAUUCUAGUUUGUUGUUGAUGUGGACACCAAGGAACUUGAAGCUCUCAACCUGCUCCACUACAGCCCCGUUGAUGAGAAUGGGGGCGUGUUCGGUCCUCCUUUUCCUGUAGUCCACAAUCAUCUCCUUAGUCUUGGUUACGUUGAGGGAUAGGUUGUUCUUCUGGCACCACCCGGCCAGGUCUCUGACCUACUCCCUAUAGGCUGUCUCGUCGGUGAUCAGGCCUACCACUGUUGUGUCGUCUGCAAACUUAAUGAUGGUGUUGGAGUCGUGCCUGGCCAUGCAGUCGUGGGUGAACAGGAAGUACAGGAGGGGACUGAGCACGCACCCCUGGGGGAUCAGUGUGGCAGAUGUGUUGCUACCUACCCUCACCAUCUGGGGGCGACCCCUCAGGAAGUCCAGGAUCCAGUUGCAGAGGGAGGUGUUUAGUCCCAGGAUCCUUAGCUUAGUGAUGAGCUUUGAGGGUACUAUGGUGUUGAAAGCUGAGCUGUAGUCAAUGGAUAGCAUUCUCACAUAAGUGUUCCUUUUGUCCAGGUGGGAAAGGGCAGUGUGGAGUGCAAUAGAGAUGGCAUCAUCUGUAGAUCUGUUUGGGCGGUAUGCAAAUUGGAGUGGGUCUAGGGUUUCUGGGCUAAUGGUGUUGAUGUGAGCCAUUACCUGCCUUUCAAAGCACGUCUGUAGUCAUUUAGGCAGGUUGCCUUUGUGUUCUUGGGCACAGGGACUAUGGUGGCCUGCUUGAAACAUGUUGGUAUUACAGACUCAAUCAGGGACAUGUUGAAAAUGUCAGUGAAGACACCUGCCAGUUGGCCAGCACAUGCCCGGAGCACACGUCCUGGUUAUCCGUCUGGCCCCGCAGCCUUGUGUAUGUUGACCUGUUUAAAGGUCUUACUCACAUCAGCUACGGAGAGCGUGAUCACACAGUUGUCCGGAACAGCUGAUGCUCUCAUGCAUGCCUCAGUGUUGCUUGCCUCGAAGCAAGCAGAGAAGUGAUUUAGCUUGUCUGGUAGGCUCGUGUCACAGGGCAUCUCGCGGCUGUGCUUCCCUUUGUAGUCUGUAAUAGUUUGCAAGCCCUGCCACAUAAGACGAGCGUCAGAGCCGGUGUAGUAUGAUUCAAUCGUAGCAUUGUAUUGACGCUUUGCCUGUUUGAUGGUUCGUCGCAGAGCAUAGCAGGAUUUCUUGUAAGCUUCCGGGUUAGAGUCCCGCACCUUGAAAGCGGCAGCUCUACCCUUUAGCUCAGUGCGAAUGUUUCCUGUAAUCCAUGGCUUCUGGUUGGGGUAUAUACGUACAGUCACUGUAGGGACGAUGUCCUCGAUGCACUUAUUGAUAAGGCCAGUGACUGAUGUGGUAUACUCCUCAAUGCCAUCGGAAGAAUCCCGGAACAUGUUCCAGUCUGUGAUAGCAAAACAGUCCUUUAGUUCAGCGUCUGCUUCAUCUGACCACUUUUUUAUUGACCGAGUCACUGGUGCUUCCUGCUUUAAUUUGUGCUUGUAAGCAGGAAUCAGGAGGAUAGAGUUGUGGUCGGAUUUACAAAAUGGAGGGCGAGGGAGAGCUUUGUACGCGUCUCUGUGUGUGGAGUACAGGUGAUCUAGAAUUGUUUUCCCUCUGGUUGCACAUUUAACAUGUUGAUAGAAAUUUGGUAGAACUGAUUUUAGUUUCCCAGCAUUGAAGUCUCCGGGCACUAGGAGCGCCGCCUCUGGGUGAGUGGUUUCCUGUUUGCUUAUUUCCUUAUACAGCUGACUGAGUGCGGUCUUAGUGCCAGCAUCUGUCUGUGGUGGUAAAUAAACAGCCACGAAAAGUAUAGCUGAAAACUCCCUAGGCAAGUAGUGUGGCCUGCAAUUUACCACAAUAUACUCUACUUCAGGCGAGCAAAAUCUAAAGAAUUCCUUAGAUUUCGUGCACCAGCUGUUGUUUACAAAUAUGCACAGACCGCUCCCCCUCGUCUUAUCGGAGUGUGCAGUUCUAUCUUGCCGGUGCAGCGUAUAUCCCGCUAGCUGAAUAUCCAUGUCAUCAUUCAGCCACGAUUCCGUGAAACAUAGGAUAUUACAGUUUUUGAUGUCCCGUUGGUAGGAUAUUCGUGAUCGUACCUCGUCUAAUUUAUUGUCCAAUGAUUGUACGUUGGCGAGUAAUAUUGACGGUAACGGCAGCUUUCCCACUCGCCUUCUCCGGGUCCUGACAGGGCAUCCGGCUCUUUGUCCUCUGUACCUGCGUCGCUUCCUCUUGCAAAUAACGAGGAUGUCGGCCUUGUUGUAGAAAAAAUCUUUGUCUAAUCCGAGGUGAGUGAUUGCUGUCCUGAUAUCCAGAAGCU